RNAcentral lists this ribosomal RNA (538 nucleotides) under uncultured Micrococcaceae bacterium. Its description in RNAcentral is "bacterial SSU rRNA". It matches the Rfam family "Bacterial small subunit ribosomal RNA", at positions 185 to 731 of the family's 1533-position model. Lineage: Bacteria; Bacillati; Actinomycetota; Actinomycetes; Micrococcales; Micrococcaceae. The record is from RNAcentral.
CCCGAUGGGGUGCGUGGUGGAAAGAGUUUAUACGGUCUUGGAUGGACUCGCGGCCUAUCAGCUUGUUGGUGAGGGUAAUGGCUCACCAAGGCGAUGACGGGUAGCCGGCCUGAGAGGGUGACCGGCCACACUGGGACUGAGACACGGCCCAGACUCCUACGGGAGGCAGCAGUGGGGAAUAUUGCACAAUGGGCGAAAGCCUGAUGCAGCGACGCCGCGUGCGGGAUGACGGCCUUCGGGUUGUAAACCGCUUUCAGCAGGGAAGAAGCGAAAGUGACGGUACCUGCAGAAGAAGCGCCGGCUAACUACGUGCCAGCAGCCGCGGUAAUACGUAGGGCGCGAGCGUUAUCCGGAAUUAUUGGGCGUAAAGAGCUCGUAGGCGGUUUGUCACGUCUGCUGUGAAAGCCCGGGGCUCAACCCCGGGUGUGCAGUGGGUACGGGCAGACUAGAGUGCAGUAGGGGAGACUGGAAUUCCUGGUGUAGCGGUGAAAUGCGCAGACUAUCCAGGAGGAACACCGAUGGCCGGUCGACGCGGCCG